Long non-coding RNA from Hippopotamus amphibius kiboko, 439 nucleotides. RefSeq lists it as uncharacterized. The transcript is spliced from 3 exons. The record is from RefSeq and is a predicted model, not a curated record. NCBI's taxonomy places the organism in Eukaryota, Metazoa, Chordata, Mammalia, Artiodactyla, Hippopotamidae.
AGAAUCCAAGCGUGACCAGCUCUUAGGAGAAAAUGAUUGGGACUAAUUCAUACUAGCAUGGAAAUGACUGAUGGCUUCAAUCUCCCUGCAUAUAUUUGCAUCUCCCCCAUCUCAAUAAUAAGGAUGCAGCUUUUGGCAACCGGAGGCUUCAUGGGGUACCCAGGCAGUCUAAUGGGAAGAUGCCUUUUUACAUGAUGCAUAACUGUGAUUUGUCCCACGCUGUGCAGUAUUUUACAAAUGAGUGUUUAAGCUCUGACUACCGAUUUCUUCAUCAUUAGGAGCUGUUGUGAUGAGGCUACUCCACCUCUGAAAGGAGAAGAAAAAAAUAUAAAUCAAGAUCGUGCUGAAGAUGUUUUAGUCUUUGACCCGUGGCUGUUGAAGCUUGGGCAUUGUCUCAGAGUCAUCCUGAAUUUCUGUUGCUGUCGAGGACUCUCAGUGC